GCGGGGGUCGCCCAGCCCGGUCAAAGGCGUGAGUUCAGACCUCAUCCCUUAGGGGUUCGUGGGUUCAAAUCCCACCCCCCGCA
RNAcentral lists this transfer RNA (83 nucleotides) under Nitrososphaera sp. RNAcentral describes it as "tRNA-Leu". It matches the Rfam family "tRNA". From Rfam's summary of the family: Transfer RNA (tRNA) molecules are approximately 80 nucleotides in length. Their secondary structure includes four short double-helical elements and three loops (D, anti-codon, and T loops). Lineage: Archaea; Thermoproteati; Nitrososphaerota; Nitrososphaeria; Nitrososphaerales; Nitrososphaeraceae. The record is from RNAcentral.